UAAGAAUGCAGAGGGUAGAGCUUAGGUCUUGCAGAAGAUCUUUGAUUAAGCGAGGAUUGUGGUGGUCAUCAAGAACUGGAAUAAAUAAAAAUAAAACUAUGGAUUGAUACAGUUAAGCAACACUUUAAAAAAAGAUCUAGUUUCAUAACCCAAAUGUCCACUGAUAGACGAACAGACAAACAACGUGUGAUCUAUACAUGCAAUAGAAUAUUAUUCAGCCCUAAAAAGGAGGGAAAUUCUCACACAUAUUCAGCAUGGAUGAACCCUGAAGACAUUAUGCAAAGUGAAAUAAGCUAGCUACAAAAGGACAAAUAUAUAUCUCCACUUACAUGAGGCACCCACUUACAUAAGGCACUUACAUGAGUAGUCAAACUCGUAGAGACAGAAAGUAGAAUGAUAAUUACCAGGGGCUGGUGGGGAGGAGGAAUGGGGACUCAGUGUUUAAGGUGGUAUGAGUUUCAGUUUGGGACAAUGAAGAGGUUCUGGAGAUGACUGGUGGUGAUGGGUGCACAGUAAUAUACACACACUUAAUGCCGCUGAACUGUAUGCUUAAAAACUGCUAAAAUGGUAAAUUUUAUGUAAUGUGUAUUUUACCACAAUAAAAAGAUGUAAUUUCACUGCAACCCAAAA
Long non-coding RNA from Homo sapiens (human), 630 nucleotides. The record is from Ensembl. NCBI's taxonomy places the organism in Eukaryota, Metazoa, Chordata, Mammalia, Primates, Hominidae.